AUACGGAGGGUGCGAGCGUUGUUCGGAAUUAUUGGGCGUAAAGAGCAUGUAGGCGGUCUGUUAAGUCUGGUGUGAAAGCCCGGGGCUCAACCCCGGAAGUGCAUUGGAUACUGGCAGACUUGAGUAUGGGAGAGGAAAGCGGAAUUCCGAGUGUAGGAGUGAAAUCCGUAGAUAUUCGGAGGAACACCAGUGGCGAAGGCGGCUUUCUGGACCAAUACUGACGCUGAGAUGCGAAAGCGUGGGGAGCAAACAGGAUUAGAAACCCUAGUAGUCCCC
This 276-nucleotide ribosomal RNA is filed under the name uncultured bacterium. RNAcentral describes it as "partial 16S ribosomal RNA". It matches the Rfam family "Bacterial small subunit ribosomal RNA", at positions 523 to 798 of the family's 1533-position model. The record is from RNAcentral.